UGGGGAAUCUUCCGCAAUGGACGAAAGUCUGACGGAGCAACGCCGCGUGUACGACGAAGGCCUUCGGGUUGUAAAGUACUGUCUUCAGGGACGAACGGUAUUUGUGUAAAUAAUGCAGAUACAUGACGGUACCUGAGGAGGAAGCCCCGGCUAACUACGUGCCAGCAGCCGCGGUAAUACGUAGGGGGCAAGCGUUGUCCGGAAUCAUUGGGCGUAAAGGGCGCGUAGGCGGAUAUUUAAGUCCGGUGUGAAAACCUAGGGCUCAACCCUGGGAGUGCAUCGGAAACUGGGUAUCUUGAGGACAGGAGAGGAAAGUGGAAUUCCACGUGUAGCGGUGAAAUGCGUAGAUAUGUGGAGGAACACCAGUGGCGAAGGCGACUUUCUGGACUGUAACUGACGCUGAGGCGCGAAAGCGUGGGGAGCAAACA
This 428-nucleotide ribosomal RNA is filed under the name uncultured bacterium. RNAcentral's name for it is "bacterial SSU rRNA". It matches the Rfam family "Bacterial small subunit ribosomal RNA", at positions 355 to 774 of the family's 1533-position model. The record is from RNAcentral.